GAUGGUCACAUGAUGAUGACAUCAGAGAAAGUGUUGAACCGUUAUUGUUGAACUCUUAGCCAUGUUUUUGCUUAUGCAUUUUUAACUCAUUUUUAUAAUAGUUUGAAUUAUUGUUCUUGUUAAAUAUUUAAUUCGAAAUGGUGGAUUGUUGGAUUCUCGGGAAUUAAUUGAAAUUAAAUUGACGUUUUAUAUGAUAUUUAGUAAUUCAAGAGCAAUGAUCUCUGUCUUGAUGUUUGAUCAAUCAAGUGAUGAAGUGAAACCAUUGUAAGGAAAGAGUACCUCUGUACCUGGAAACUUCAUUUUGAUUGGAGGGAAACGUCUAACUGGAAGCUCACCAUAAAAUGGAUCCGUCAAUCUUUUCCAAUGGCCGAGUUUCACCAAGUUACAUCAUUUUCAUUUUUUUAUAUUUCUAAUCACGUAAGCUUGUAAACUGUACAGCACAAUCAUGUUGACAAAAGUAGCAUGUUAAUUUUACCUUGUAACAGCAAAUCCGUUGUAUUUCAGAUUUCUUUUGUUCAACCUAAAGUGUCAACAUAAUCAUGACAUUUCACUUCAUUGUUUCCCUCUUUUUUUUCAUACUCAUUCCUGGCAACAAACAUUGAUAUUUAUUGUAUCACAAAUCUUGCCUAUCAAGAUAGUAUAUCGUUAAAUUGAGCUAGAUUAAUGGUAAUGCAACCUUUAAACUGUUGAAUCUCAAUCAUAACCAGGCCUCUACGAUGAACCCUCCACCUAACUUCAGACCCAUUUCAAUCAUCUUAAAAUAUGAAACAAAGACGGAGUGCUGCUAUUUUCUUAGCGAGAAAUCGAUCAAGAUGUAAGGAUCCAAAAGCAGAAAUCCGAGAUUCGAAGGAUGGUGGAUGGAAAAUUAAACGAGAGAAAUGGUUCGAAAAAUUAUUAUUCAAUCUAAACAGAAUGGCCGAGUAACAAAUUACAUUAUAAUGAUAGCAGAAUAACAUUCACAUGUGUUACAUAAACUUACCUCAUUCGAUGUGCUUUCGUUUUAUCGUUCGUUCUGCAUGAAAGAUCAGAUGGCCGAGUGGUUAAGGCGUUGGACUGCUAAUCCAAUGGGCAUUGCCCGCGUGGGUUCGAAUCCCAUUCUGAUCGAAACUUUUGCUUUUUCUUACCUAAUUAAUCUUCGAUUAAUUAAUUCCCCACAUUGUUUGGUUACAUGAAAACAACUGUUUCCAACCUUGAGCUGUUGCAGGCAGAAAGAGAGUUGAAAUUGUGUUUACAUGUUGAACAUUUUUACAGUCUUUAUGUAAAAAUCCUUCAAAUUGUUGAACAUUUUGAUUUCUACCUUGAUUGGUGAUCAAUUACCGUAAAAUCAAAAAAUGCAAAAUUUAAGCUUUAAUAACAAUUUUUAUUUACAUUAUACAUUACAUGUAUGUUUACCUGAAAAACAUUUACUCUUCAAUAUUUUUAUGCACAGUAUUUACAUUCAAAAUACAUUAACACGAUUGAGAUCUUUCUACUUAUUAAUUAAUACUGAUAGAAAAAAAACAAAAUUACAUUUAAUACAAUUAAGACACUUAUGCCAAGCUUGUUGUUGCUAGUGUAAUGUUGUAUUGAUUAUACGCAAUAAAUCAUCAGCUCACUAAUGAUUUGUGAACUAUUAAAUGAUCACAUUUUAUCAUGUU
Tetranychus urticae (two-spotted spider mite) is the source of this 1637-nucleotide non-coding RNA. NCBI's taxonomy places the organism in Eukaryota, Metazoa, Arthropoda, Arachnida, Trombidiformes, Tetranychidae. The record is from RefSeq and is a predicted model, not a curated record.